AAAGAUGGGAGCACAGGGAGGUGUUUCUCAUUAAAUGGAGCUGCCCUUAAUUUUUUUUUCUAAUAACCAAGAAAGAAGGUAUCAUUUUACUGUACUUGGCUCCACAGAAGCAGAACAAAUACACGAAAACCAACAGAAGCUUUAGUUUUACUACUUAGGAUGUGUAUGGGAGCUGUUGAAUCACAGCCUGAACCACUGAUUGAUCACCUGAGGCAAGCACUGAGUCAGCCAUGGGAGCACAGGUGAAGGCAAUUCACCUGUGUGACCAGAAGGGGUGGAGCCUGGCUGCACCUCUCCUAGACCCCAUUUAAGGGCUGACUGCCGCUGGUGAAGGAUAUCUUUUUGGAGCUUGCUCCCUUUGGAGUUUUUCUGUGAGCCUCUGAUAUGGGUGAGCAUUUAUUUUUGAUUUUUCCUUUCUACUGCGAUAAUCUUUCUAGUUACACAUCCUGUAAAAUACCAGCUUAACCACACCACUCUGCUAAUUGUAUAUUUGUUCAUUUGUUCAUAUCAGGACAGGUUUUACUUUUAGGCGUUAACUGUCUUUCUUAUGAUUGCAAGAGUGCGGCUCAGUUGUGUGCUUUGUCUCUCUUCUGUUAACUUGAAAGGCCAACUUAGCAUCUGUUAUGUCUACUCUAAGGAUGGUUUAGUAUACUGUCUGUAGCAGAAAUAUUAAAUCAUGGCCUAAAGCAGUGACUAAGCACCUGGUGGAAAGGCAGGGCCAACCCAGGGGAGCUCAGGUGCAAACAAUGCCUCUGAGGGCCUGGAAGGAGUAGAGCCAGGAUCCAUCCCUUUCCAGACCUCAUUUAAGGGUUGGUAGUGGAGGUAAGGGUCUGUCGCUAGAGAUCUCUGCAUACCUGAGGUCUUCUGAGGGUAAGCAGCUUUUUUCCUUUGUUUCUGUGCCCAUGGCUGUUGCAUUUGAGCAAGUCUUUUUGUACUGCAGGCUAGGCUUUUGCUACUCUGCUGCCACUGUUGUGCCUUCCUUCACGUUACAAUAUUACAAACUACUGUAGCACUUCCUUUUUUUUUAUUAAAUAAAAGAAAGAUUUAUUGUCAUAGAAACAGCUAUUUUUCCUUGUUUAAAAAAAAAGGAAGGAAAAGUAUGCUCAUAGCUCUGCUGAAUAAAUCUGUUUUAUCGUAAAUGGAUGCGGUGUUUCUCAUGGAAUUGUUAAGAAAUUACCUUUGUAAUCCCUUUUACAUUAAAGAGAAUUUGCUGCCUUUUAUAUUUCUAACUUUGAAGCCUUAGAUACAAAGAAUUCUUUUGCUUUCUCUACAGGGAUCAGAAUUCUAUCCCAUACGAUGAAAUGUGACUGGAGUUGACUGUAUUUACUGUGGAAAAAGUAAAAUCAUUUUAGAAAUGCAUUUAAGUGGAAGAUGUUAUCUCCUUUGGCAUGUCUGCAUCACACACACAGGGGUGUGUAAGGUUCUAGGUGUACUGGAAGCAUCACUGUGCUUUGUUGAAGAGAAGAAAAAAGACUGGGGAGAAGGGAUUCCAUCGUCUCUUGAAGUUCAUAUUUGGUAGAGUUCUCCCUAGCAGAAGGCCUGUACAGUGCCUAGGUAACACAUGGAGUCAAAACAGGAAGAGAGGGAGGCAGAGCAGUACAUGAAUGUCGCUUAACCCCUAUGAAUCAGAAAGUAAAAGUAUUUUGUGAAUUUGAACUUAUUCUGUGUGUGAGUGUCUUGGAACAGUGUCAAAUAACUCUCUUUUUCAGGCAGCAAUUGUUAGUGUUGUCAGUGCCCUGCAGUAUCUUGUCUGUAAGCUUUUCUGAUCUAUUUGUGUGACUAUAGACCAGUUGGACUAAGAUUGUGUCCUUUGAGCUGGGAUCUGUCUACUUCAGCACUUCUCUUUAAAUCAGGAGCAGGCUUUGGAAGCCAAAUUCAUGGCCAUUUGUCCCUGUGGUGUUUUGGUUUACACGAUGAAGCAAGUCUCAGAAGACAAGUGAAAGUAAACUGUGUCCCAGAAGCACACCUAACAUGCUCCAGUGGGUGUGCAGUCCACACUGGAGUUGGUUGGAAGUAAUUCACCCUAUUAUCAGCUGCUUGAGACAUAGCUUCUGUUCUGUUGACCUCUUUCUCUUGUACUGCACUAAUUGUUACUGGAGAUGAACAUACUGUCUGAUCACAAUCUUUUUAAUGUGUUUAUUCAAAUCUGUUCUUAUAUCUUCCUUCUGGAAUUAAUUACUGUUCAGUAACAAACUGAUUGGUGAGAAACAGGAUGAGGCAGAUGGUGGCCAGCCAGUAUGCUUUAGUAUGAUGCCCUUCUCACCCUCACAGUGACAGUAUUGUGGCUCACUCAUUAGGAGCGAUUUUCAGUGUAGUUAACUGUUCUGUUUCUGUUGACUCUUGAUAUAAAAGUACAUUGACAUCUAAUACCUGGAAAACAAGCGAAAAUGUGAUAGUGUGACAAGGAGGUCUGUGGCUUACAGAUCUUCCUGUCUAUCUAUGUUUGACUACAUCAGUACAUUUUCUAGAGGAGAUAAUUUUUUUGUCAAUGCCUUAAAGUACAUUGCAUUUUUUUCUUCUUUUGUGUAGUGAAUUUUUGUGUUCUUUUUGGGAAGAGCAAAUAAAAAAGGUAUUGAAAAUGCAAGCACACAGUGUCUCCAAGUAAUCUCGGUCUCUUACACCUUGUGCCAGCUCAAUGUUUUGGGUAUGUUUUGGCUAGUUCAGGAAAGCACAUAUAUUUCAGUAUGGGCUUAGAAGCCUCUUGCAGGUCCAUCCUGCAAUAGUAGGCACCUCCCCUGUCAUUGUGUGAAUACCUUAGGAAAAAGAUGUUUGUGCAGAUGGAACUUCCGAUCUUCAGGAUAAAACAAGUUCUUAAGACAACAUCAAAGAUGAAAGAUCUAAAUAGCAGUUUUACUGCCUAUGUGAAUUUGUGAUCUCUGCUAAAACUAUAACUUGCCCUCAAUUUUCUUGUUCUUUUUUUUUCUCCUUGACCAUGGCUUUCAAGAGCACCGAGUGUUUAAUUUUAUCUGUCUGAUAAACUUCAGAUGAUUCAAUAGAUACAAGCUGACUGUAAGCAAUCUCUUUUGUACAGAAGGUUCUCUGUCCUGAGAUAGAGCUGGGCCUGGAUUGUUCCUGCCUUUAAGUGAUGUCCAUAUGAUAACCUUGGGAAGAUUUCUGAGAGGAUACUGGUUCUGAGGUAUUUAGUUUGUCCUUCAGCUCACUGUUGCCUUCACAUUUGACUCUAGCAGUUUUGUGGAACAAACAAUUCAGAAAUACUUAAGGGUUGUCAACAUUAAGUUGUGCAAGGGAGAUGUAAGUGGAUUACAGAAAGCAGCUGUGAAAAUUACCAAAGUUUGUGUUUUCCCCCUUAGUGGGGAAUAUUCUUGAAAACUACAGCUAUGUGGGGAUACUUUGGACUGCUUGUGAACAGAUAUUUCGCAAGUUUUUGUGUUCAGAUCUGUUCUAGAUUGGUGUUAUUGGUUCAUCUAUUUUGUGGUGCUUUCAGCUGCUUUCAACCUAUUACUGAAAGACUGGCUUUCUGCACAAGCUCCACUGUUACUGGUACAGUCAGGAGAUGUGUUUGAAGUGAUGCACAUUCCCCUGGAACUGCCCUGGAUAGCUGAUUUCUCAAGUGGGUUCUCUUCUUUGGAACUCAGGUGCAGAACCUGCCCUACUGUCUGCCUAGUGUGGCUUUACAGGCAUCUGAAUGUUGAGGUAAGGCGAUUCUUUCCUCCCAGAGCUUGGUAAAGGUAGGUUGUAAGGAAAUCGGGUUGUUUUUUCUUUUGUUUUCUCAAGAUCUCAAUCUUUUGUGUAUAUGAGAAAGAAAAAGAAGACUGGCUCUUCUUUUAAUGUGUGAAUGGGAACAAAGAGUGAAUUUUGAUAGCAGUUUGCACACAUCUGCUCUAAAUAAUUGAUACUUUAUGAAUCAAUGUAUGACAUGAAAGUCUUCCAGCAGCAAAUCAUGUGUCAAAUUUAAGUAUAAACCCUUCAGGAAUUAUAUGUAUGCACUUGUCUUACAUAUCCACUCAGACUCUGAUGAAGGACAGUUAAGAUGGAUGGGUCACAUUCCCUGGCACGUUUGUUAUUCUUCUUCCAAGGACGACAAGCUAACACAUGAGAGAAAACAAACAUAUAUCCAGCAUAAGGCAUUAAUCAGUAGCAGUCUAAGGCAAAAAAAAAAAAAAUGUAAUGCACUACAGAUCAUGUGGAGAGGAAAAAAAUGAGGACCAGUACUUGCAAAAAAGACUCGAAUACUUAUUAAAAAACAAAACAAAAGAAUAUAUCCUCUGGAAUAGCAAAAACAGAACAGUAUAUGUGAAGGAAAUGAUUUUACAUGAAUUCAUGACUUAAGAUCUAAGCUGAAAGCCUUGCAGGAAAGUAUGAAGUUUGUGCAUUUUUACAUGUUUAUUUUGUAGUGGUCUUGGUCUGAAAAAAAGAAAAUAGAGGUAUUUUCUCUGGGAGCAGUUCUAACUCUAACCGUAGAGUGGCAGUGCAGAAUUCCUUCUCUGAAGUUCUGGAGCUCAGCCAAACGAGUUGCAGCCUACGCAAUCCAUUACUCUGAUUGGCAUACCCAGAAAUCUUGCCACAGGUUGACGUUGACGUUCCUGCAGACAAUGUGUUUAACUAGGUGACUUUCCAUUGUGGCGGAGCAGUUCUGGAAGCAGAGUAUAUACUUAUCUGAUUUUUCCACUUUAAAAUGUCGUUGCCUAUUUUGGGCUCCAAAUAUCUUAAAUGAACAAUUUCAAGAUUUUCUUAUCUUUAAGACCCUUUGCAAACAAUGCUGAAAAAAUGAUAGCUUUAUUUAAUGAAACAACGACCUGCAACUCUUUUAAAUUCACACGGAAUGUUUUCUCAUUUCUUUUGGAUUUACUGUUAGAUUCUAAACAUCUACUCAAUUCUAUUUCAGGACAGAACUACAGCUUAAACAGUCUUAUUUCAGGCAUUUUUGCUGUAUUGGAUGAAAUUUAACUUACAAAAAAUGUCUGUGCAUCUCUAUGCUUGAUUUCUCUGCUUCACCUGUGAUGCUGGCUGUACUUGAACCUCCUUCCAUUUCUGUGUCACGACCCAGUGAGAUGUGUACUUGCAUUCAAAUCAGAUUGCAAAGAGAAGAAGAGAAACACAUGAAUAAAAGUUCAAAAGUGCUACAGGAAAAUAUCCAGGUCAGAUAACUAAUACAAUAUAUCAAACUUCAGUGGUAACUUACUUUGUCGUGCAUUCCUUUUUCACUUGCCUUUGCUUAUUUAAGUUGUUAACUCUCUAGAAAACAGGUUAGUCUGGUUUGUUUUUCAGUAAAACCUUUGGCAUCCUAUGUGUAUAACAAAGUAAAAAAAAAAAAAGUAAUUAUGCCAUAGUAUACAUGAGACUUUAGCCUGUGACACUUGCAUCUUGGCUGUGAAGAAUUCCAUCCGUAAUGUGGUGUUGAACCACAAGCAUGCCUUAUGCUUUUAAAGCUCAGAACAGAAUAUAGCAAUCUGGGACCCCUGCAGACCACAGCUACAAUUUUAGUCGUGUAAUUCUAUAGUUUAGAUAUUCGCAGAGGUGAAUGUGCAGGCUUUAAUCUGAAAGUCUGUGUAUAUCUUAUUUAGUAUUUUUGAUUUCUAUUAAGUUCUAGGUGUUUUGUGAUAAAAUCUAAAGAAUUGUCCAGAACUGAAGACGUUAAAAUCCCCUAUUGACUUCUGCCUAUUUGAUUGCUUUAUGGAUGAGGUUCUGAACAGACAACAUGCAAUAUGAGAUCCAGCCAAAAAGAAGUGGUUGAGCAGUGGGUGUAUGCUACUUCCACACUUUUAUUUUUUGGUCAUUUGUUUUAUUUUUUUUCCCCCCUUCUCUCAUACAGUCUUUCUUUCGUCCCUCUUCUGGUCUGUUGUGUUUGCACUUGUUGUGCUGAGGGCCUAUAAACAUCAGAGAAAUGUUGGAAGGAGAAUAAGGGGUGUAUGAGAGUCAGAGGGGUGCUGGGCACAGGGGAGUCGGUGUGAGGUGAGCAGGUAAGAGUAGGAGGCACAGAAGGGAUGGUUAAUCACACCAGAGGGCUUUUGUUUGGGAUUUUUCCAGACUUUCUGCAGCACUUGAAAUUCAUUCCCUGCCUUAAUCCAAAGUAACUUUCAAGUAUAGACAGGCCUAACAGUAUAACAGUAACAUUUACUUAACUUUGGCAGAAGUUCUAGGUGCUCAAGGAAUGCAGGAUUGUUUUGUGAGGAAUGCAAAAUUUUAACCUCAUUAGUUGACAUUAAUGAGUUAUUUCCUAAGCAGCUUUAGAUGGCUUAAUUUUGUUAAUUGAACCUUCAUAUGAAAAAUUCUAUAGGGUCAUAAAAUUACCCAUAAGGAAGGAUUGGUUCUUACUAAUGUCUGGGAAUCACUUCUGUGAUCUUGAAAUAAUUUGAAAGGAAAAUAUUUUCAUACUAAGUUGCUUGUUUAUUGAAAUACCUGCUUAGAGUCUCCAAAUCAAUUGGAGAAUGGUUAUUUCACAGAGCUGUUAAGCUGUUAUACCCUCUUUCUUUUGGUGGCUGAAGUGCUCUAAAUAGGCAAGGGAUCACCAGAUGCUUACAUCCUGAAAUAUCUGCUUCAAGUACACUCCUGCUUGUGGCAGUGGAUUUGUAAUAAGGAUAUGUUCAUUAGUAGGAGGCACAUUCAAUACUGUACCAAUGAUGUAGUCCCUAGCUCAGAGUUUAAUCUCAAAGCCUCAAUCCAGAAUCAUUACAGAAGUCAGAGAUGAUUCUGAGUCCCUUGAAUUGUGGGAAUUACCCAGACAGUAAAGGUUCUUAGUAUGGCAAGGCUUUAACAACAAGCUAACUCCAGUUCUGUUGUUAAACUCCAUGGAUUAAACUCCAAUGCAUUAAAAAAUGUUAGUUUAUGUGAAAUUUGAUUUCUUAAGAAGUUGAACAGUGUGGCUUCAGUUAAAUAAACAAGCAUUGAUUGAUAAGUGUAUGCUCUUCAGCAGUGCCUGCUUAAAACGGUGUGCUGAAAGUUAUUUGCUGAAUCAGUGUUAAAUGUGAUAAACAUCUUGCACAGCUGAGCUCCUUGCUUGGUAAUCAGCGUGUUGUGCACUCGAAAACCUGGCUGGUGGCAAGGCUUCUGUUAACAAAGUAAUGUGGAUGUCUCUAUGUUGUAGCAGUGAGAUCUUUAGGCUUGAGUGACGAAGUCCAGCAUGUACCUAUGCAGUUUAGGAUUAUGAAGAUCCAAACAAAGUAAUAUGGAAUCACAUCCACAUUAAGGCCUGUCCCUAGAGAGGAUUAGUUACUUCAAACAGGAUGUCAUUUUAGGGUACUUCUGGUUUGUGUGAUGUGAACUCAUGUGACUCUUCAGAGUGGGUUAGAAUUUUAUGACAAUGUGAGGUUGUAAUUGAUGGUGGCCUUUAAUUUUUUUGAGUAGCACAUGUAGUUGCUAUUCAUACAAGUAUAUUCCUAAUGAAUUUUGAGUCUGCAUAGAUAAAAGCAUUUAGUAGUAAUGACUCAGAAUUGAUGCUGUCUCAAAAAUAAAAGACAUUGAAACUGCCAAGUGUUAACUUGGGGCACAGUCCUUAAGAUAAGGAUUGGCAUUUACUUGGGCUGAAUUCUGCAGCACUCUGUAAACCUCUCGCAAAAGCGAUCUGCCACGGCUUUCAUGUACCUUACUGAGGAUAAUCCAUUGCAUUGUUGGAUUUGGCUGGUGGCUGCUAAGUGGAAUAAUCCUGCUCUGGAAGAGUAGUGAACCACUAGAGCAGCAAAUACUGUAAGUAAAAAUAUGGAUUGCAUAUAUAUUUCUCCACAACUUAAUUCUUCUCAUAUUAACUGUAGGUUAACUUGAUUUUAAUAGGAAAUUAGGUGUCUCCUGUUUGUUCUUUCAUGAAGUAUUAUUAAAAAAAAAACACCAAAAACACAACAUUGCCAAAGCCACUAAAUCAUGAUGUUUCUCUGUCAGCCAAACCUUACACCUAGCUGUACUUGUAUGCAGUAACUUUUCAUUUCUUAAGUCACUGAACUUCAUAUACAUCAAUGAAUUACAGAGGAACUACUAAUCAAUGUUGAGCAUGGCUUGGAAAGUCCUGAAGUUUUUCAGACGUCAGUGAAGUGUAAAGCCUCAACUCCAUGGAUGCUCAGUACCCAACAAAGCGGCUCUAAGGGUGGGAAUCAGUUCUUACCUAAUAUCAGUGCAAAUGGUAAGAAUUUAGCUGUGCACAACAAAUUUGAUUUUACUAAGACUUGUACACACACUUCAUACACAUGAACAGCUUUGGCCACUCACUUGAAUAAAUGUUAUCUAAUUUAAUCUGUGCAGAAAUGAGACCUAAGUUAAAUAAUAUUUUAAAUAAGUCAUUGCUCUGCUUAAGUCUCAAUCCCAUUUUUGAUCAGCACGCUGGGAUUUCAGGUAGUGGAAGUAAAGUAGACAUAAUAUCUGCACUGAAAUGCAUGUGUUGCUUUUUGUGCUGCAAAAUAUUAAUUUCUUUACUGAAGGGACUUCCCCCACCUCCACGUCUCUUGUGCAGUUCUGUAUCUGACAUAUAGACUCGUAGUAAUAGAGGAUUAUGUCGUGCUCUGACACGCACAACUUAAAAAUAAAUCAAAAGUUGUGUAAGUGGGUUUAGGCUGCCAAAAAGCAGCCUGAACUUGUAUUUUGCUUGUUUCUUCAGGUUUUAUAAGGCUGCUUACUGAAAUUUUUCAGGCAAACCAAAUGCUUGUUAUGGCAACCUUUGGUUUACUUGCUGAAGGCCUCAGCUAAUGCCAACGUUUUGAGGCUUUGUCUCCAUGAGGUGCUCAGCAGUGGUGCCCAGCACCUGCCAGGACCAAACUGUUUGCAGAUCCCUGGCGGGCAUGGUGGGGCUCUGCAAGGUUCUUCCAAAGGGGAAGCGUAGAGUAGGUGGCCGUGGGCUAUUCUGGGCUGCAUACUGGCGUUUCAAGAGUGGGUAAGCUGCCUGAACUCUUGCAGCCUCUUAGUGAGGUCACACAGCACAGUAGCAAUCACCCCCAGUCUUCUGAAAGCAGACUGAACUGGUGGAAUUUUUAGAAGCUUCUUAAAUUCUUCUUUUAUUCGCCCGUUUCUGCCCGUUCUCACCGUGAGUGCGAG
RNAcentral lists this long non-coding RNA (8976 nucleotides) under Gallus gallus (chicken). Lineage: Eukaryota; Metazoa; Chordata; Aves; Galliformes; Phasianidae. The record is from RNAcentral.